GUCUGGUUAAUUCCGAUAACGAACGAGACUCUGGCUUGCUAAAUAGUUGCGCCACCCGCCGCGGUGCGCGUCAACUUCUUAGAGGGACAAGUGGCGUAUAGCCACGCGAGAUUGAGCAAUAACAGGUCUGUGAUGCCCUUAGAUGUUCGGGGCCGCACGCGCGCUACACUGGCGGAAUCAGCGGGUCCUAUUCCCUUGGCCGGAAGGUCUGGGUAAUCCGCUGAACCUCCUCCGUGAUGGGGAUAGNNNNUUGCAAUUAUUUCCCUUGAACGAGGAAUUCCCAGUAAGCGCGAGUCAUCAGCUCGCGU
Molecule: ribosomal RNA, 308 nt
Filed under: Abatus shackletoni
Lineage: Eukaryota; Metazoa; Echinodermata; Echinoidea; Spatangoida; Schizasteridae
Description: SSU rRNA
Rfam family: Eukaryotic small subunit ribosomal RNA
Source: RNAcentral